RNAcentral lists this ribosomal RNA (218 nucleotides) under Cryptosporidium sp. Its description in RNAcentral is "partial 18S ribosomal RNA". It matches the Rfam family "Eukaryotic small subunit ribosomal RNA", at positions 511 to 728 of the family's 1831-position model. Lineage: Eukaryota; Apicomplexa; Conoidasida; Eucoccidiorida; Cryptosporidiidae. The record is from RNAcentral.
GGAAUGAGUUAAGUAUAAACCCCUUUACAAGUAUCAAUUGGAGGGCAAGUCUGGUGCCAGCAGCCGCGGUAAUUCCAGCUCCAAUAGCGUAUAUUAAAGUUGUUGCAGUUAAAAAGCUCGUAGUUGGAUUUCUGUUAAUAAUUUAUAUAUAAUAUUUUUAAUAUUUAUAUAAUAUUAACAUAAUUCAUAUUACUAUAAUUUUUAUUAGUAUAUGAAUU